Molecule: long non-coding RNA, 381 nt
Organism: Serinus canaria (Common canary)
Lineage: Eukaryota; Metazoa; Chordata; Aves; Passeriformes; Fringillidae
Exons: 2
Source: RefSeq, a predicted model, not a curated record
UCACAAUAUCUCCAAUCCCCAGCAUGGAGAAGUGGCUGCCUGUGGAACUAAAGGGGAACUGGAAUUGGGUUCGUGGCCAAACAAAAGCAUCCCAACAUCUAAAAAACAAGAACAGAGUAAUACCCCAACAAAACUACUGCCUGCCUGCUGCUGCACUGAGCUUACUGCCCCACCAGGCCCUGGGCGUGUCUGCUUACAGAUGUGAGCCACCAGGGAACCCCUGGAGCAGGGACAUGUGGAAUAAUCUCCCUUCUGCACUGUGCUUGCUUGGUAAGCCACCCUUGCUUAGAUCAGUUUCCAACCCUUUCCCAAUCAUCUGCAAUUACACAGUUAUUCAGACUGCUCUGAUGUUUUAAUAAACCUCAUCUCUUUUGCUUCUAA